CCUAUACUCACUCCGUCCUAUAUUAAGUGUCGAAAUAUUACAUGUAUCUCUAAACGCUUUUUAGUAUAGAUACAUUCAUCUUUGAGCAAAUUUUUGACACUUAAUAUGGGACGGAGGGAGUAUUUA
Brachypodium distachyon (stiff brome) is the source of this 126-nucleotide non-coding RNA. The record is from Rfam. NCBI's taxonomy places the organism in Eukaryota, Viridiplantae, Streptophyta, Magnoliopsida, Poales, Poaceae.